ACGGGAGGCAGCAGUGGGGAAUCUUCCGCAAUGGGCGAAAGCCUGACGGAGCAACGCCGCGUGAGUGAAGAAGGUCUUCGGAUCGUAAAGCUCUGUUGAGAGGGACGAGAGAUUACUUCAGGAAAUGGGAGUAAGAGGACGGUACCUUUCGAGGAAGCCACGGCUAACUACGUGCCAGCAGCCGCGGUAAUACGUAGGUGGCGAGCGUUGUCCGGAAUUAUUGGGCGUAAAGGGAGCGCAGGUGGGACUUCAAGUCAGUCUUAAAAGUGCGGGGCUCAACCCCGUGAUGGGAUUGAAACUGUAGUUCUUGAGUGCAGGAGAGGAAAGCGGAAUUCCUAGUGUAGCGGUGAAAUGCGUAGAUAUUAGGAGGAACACCAGUGGCGAAGGCGGCUUACUGGACGGUAACUGACGUUGAGGCUCGAAAGCGUGGGGAGCAAACAGGAUUAGAUACCCUGGUA
RNAcentral lists this ribosomal RNA (458 nucleotides) under uncultured Anaerovibrio sp. RNAcentral's name for it is "bacterial SSU rRNA". It matches the Rfam family "Bacterial small subunit ribosomal RNA", at positions 341 to 792 of the family's 1533-position model. The record is from RNAcentral. Lineage: Bacteria; Bacillati; Bacillota; Negativicutes; Selenomonadales; Selenomonadaceae.